CUACACCCGCUUCACCCGCUUAACGACACGAAUCAGCGUCCUCCGCGCAGGGACCCGGAGCUGGCUGGAGGCGUCCGCAGAAGACCCGCGCCGGGGCCGAGGGCCGCGUGGGGGCCGCAGACUUGCAGGGAGCGCAGCCCCAGGCAGCAGACUGUGGCUUCCAGAACCGACUGUGCCCGAGGAUAAGGCCUGAACUUCAACAACCUGCAAGUGGGUUGAGCAACCCGUUUCACCGUUGAGGAGACAGAGCGCUGGCCCAGCCUGGACCCGGAGCUGAGGUUCCUGUUUCCUGGCUCACCUGGAGGCUCC
This 309-nucleotide long non-coding RNA is filed under the name Homo sapiens (human). Its description in RNAcentral is "HSALNT0371816". Lineage: Eukaryota; Metazoa; Chordata; Mammalia; Primates; Hominidae. The record is from RNAcentral.